UACGUAGGUGGCAAGCGUUGUCCGGAUUUAUUGGGUUUAAAGGGUGCGUAGGCGGUCCUAUAAGUCAGUGCUGAAAUAUCCCGGCUUAACCGGGAGGGUGGCAUUGAUACUGCAGGACUUGAGUAAAGUUGAGGUAGGCGGAAUUGACGGUGUAGCGGUGAAAAUGCUUAGAUAUCGUCAAGAACACCGAUAGUGAAGACAGCUUACUAAACUUUAACUGACGCUGAGGCACGAAAGUGUGGGGAUCAAACAGG
RNAcentral lists this ribosomal RNA (254 nucleotides) under uncultured bacterium. RNAcentral describes it as "partial 16S ribosomal RNA". It matches the Rfam family "Bacterial small subunit ribosomal RNA", at positions 524 to 776 of the family's 1533-position model. The record is from RNAcentral.